GACAGCAUUGUUUCUGUGACUUUCUGUAGCUGGUGACAACAGCUAUGCCGGCACUGUGUUUAGAGCGUGGACUCCAGCCCACACUCGUUUUGCAUCCAGACUGCUCGCGUCCCAAAUAGCACUUAGCAACAGACAGGCUUGUGCAGGGGAGUUUGACCUAAGAGACCUGAGAUCUUCGGCAUUACUCUUCAUCACUCUGUUGUGACAUUAUGCUGGACAACCUUGAAAACUGGAUCUCAGCUACAAAGAGAGAACAACAGAGGUGCAGGCAGACGUUACAUUUGCUGCAGCCUGCUUUCUGCUAGUCUCCCAAGCGCGAAGUCCUCAGCUGCAGACCUACACAUGCUCCUGGGAGGGUUUCUGUUGAAGCGUGACAGCUCAGAGUGAUGCUGGCCAGCAGCCUCGGCUGCUUCUGGGGUACAGCAACGGUGGGGGGAAGAGCUUCUUGGCGUCUCUGCACAAGCACU
Molecule: long non-coding RNA, 467 nt
Filed under: Dromaius novaehollandiae (emu)
Lineage: Eukaryota; Metazoa; Chordata; Aves; Casuariiformes; Dromaiidae
Description: lncRNA (ENSDNVG00000006116.1)
Source: RNAcentral